Non-coding RNA from Phoenix dactylifera (date palm), 1736 nucleotides. The record is from RefSeq and is a predicted model, not a curated record. Lineage: Eukaryota; Viridiplantae; Streptophyta; Magnoliopsida; Arecales; Arecaceae.
UCCGUUCUUCUUGCCAUUGCAUUGCCACGUCGGCGUUCUUUCGCUGUGCUUGACGCCCAGCCGGGACGGGCGGAGAUUAUUUUAUCCCACUGGUAUUAUUCCCGUGUCCCGUGCCGGCAUCCUCCUCUUUUUCUCUCUGCGCGUAUCGGGCGGACGGACUUGUGCCAUCAGAACCCAUCGUAUUCGUUCAUCCUAUUUAUUCCCUUUCGGAGAAGAACCCUCGUCAUUAGCCUCACAAACCAUCUGAUUCCUAUUCCAUCCCCCAUCUCUUGGCCGACGAACGAUGGACGCCAGGGCGGCCGCGAUCUCGAAACCGAUCGUGCUGAUCACCAAUGAUGACGGGAUCGAUGCCCCCGGGCUGCGCUUCCUCGUCGACCUCCUCGUCGCCACCGAUCGCUACCGUGUUCUUGUUUGCGCCCCCGCUUCGGACCAGUCAGGUGUUAGCCAUAGCGUCACGUGGCGUCAUCCUCUCAGUGCCAAACGUGUUGAAAUUGAAGGUGCUGCAGCCUUUGCAGUUUCAGGAACUCCUGCAGAUUCUGCUUCUUUGGGUAUUUCUGGAAAGCUCUUUGAUGGUAUAAUUCCUGAUUUGGUAAUCAGCGGCAUCAACAUUGGUUGCAAUUGUGGAUAUCAUGUAGUUUACUCUGGGACAGUAGCUGGUGCUCGGGAGGCUUUCUUAUAUGGUGUCCCUGCUUUAGCUAUAUCACAUAAUUGGAUGGGCAGUAAGAGCACUGUCAAUGACCUCAAACUUGCUGCAGAGGUUUGCUUGCCUGUCAUAAAUGCUGUGUUGACUGACCUCAGAAAUAAGACAUACCCUGAAGGUUCAUUUUUGAAUAUAGACGUGCCAACAGAUGUUGCACAUCACAAGGGAUUUAAGAUCACAAAACAGGGGAAGGCCAUGGUCCGGAUUGGGUGGGAGCAGACAAAUGAAAACACACCAAGCAUGGAAAGCUAUCAAACAGCAAAUAUUGAUGUUGACAUGACACCAAUCUCUGAAAAGAAUGCCUCGGUUCCAGUAGAAAAUCAUCUUUUGUUCAAGAGAGUGGCAUCAAAACAGGUUUUGAAUAAGUGGAUGUGGACAUGUUACCAAAUGACAACUCUAAGUUCUUGUGACAACUCUAGUAGCUUUCAAAGAGAAAGAUGGAAGAGGACGAAGCAGAGGACACAGACCAUAAAGCCCUUCAAGAAGGAUAUAUUACAAUCACCCCUCUAGGUGCCCUCUCUCAUGCGGAGGCUGAUGCCAUGACCUACUUUAAAGAUUGGCUGCUGCAUUUGGCUGAUUAUUCAUCAUCCUCCUUAUAAAAGUUCCUUGUCUGUUUUGUGCAGGACCCAGCAAAUGAAUCUGUUCAUUAAAGAUAUCAAUUACCUGAUUAUUUUGGUUGCCACCUGAGAUUCACUAAAGCAAACUGUGCUUCAGGCUUGUGUAGUCCUUGUGGAUAUCAGCUGUCCCUUCAUCGCUGUUAUUGUGGACAGCCAUAUCUGAUACAUUUAAGAUUUAGUUGCAUGUAUGAGGAUCAUGUCCACUGAAACUUUUUCUACUAUGUGAUAUUUAAUAGUAACCUUCAGCUGUUAAUGCUGCCAAACACCACCAGCUUUUCCCAGACAGUGAGUUUUUCCUUUUGGUCUCAACGCAGAUAGCAAGUUUAUCUUAGCACUUGGUACACAUUUAAUGUCUUACCUAAGGUCUUGUAUCCUGCAUUUUGCUUCAGCUAGUCUAUGUAAACUUCGUAGACUACCAA